CGUGAACGGACCGAAGCCCAGUGUCCCCGGACGCCCUCCUUCAUUUCCAGCUCCCGGUCCACUGGGCAGUGGUCAGCAACACUGGCUUCAAGAUCCAACUAUAAACAGAAAAUUACAGAAGAACUCAGGCUCAGUUUUUGCACUCUUCUGAAGCAGUCUGUGGUGUUGAACAGUCAUAGAUAAAGACCAGUCUGAAGUCAUUCCCAGCAAGCCCUCAGUAAUCCUCAGGAGAAGGGAAGAUACACACAUAAAACACAACA
This is a long non-coding RNA of Eptesicus fuscus (big brown bat), 260 nucleotides long. RefSeq lists it as uncharacterized. The record is from RefSeq and is a predicted model, not a curated record. The transcript has 3 exons. NCBI's taxonomy places the organism in Eukaryota, Metazoa, Chordata, Mammalia, Chiroptera, Vespertilionidae.